CCUGAACGCUGGCGGCGUGGCUAAGACAUGCAAGUCGAACGGGUGUAGCAAUACACCAGUGGCGGACGGGUGAGUAAUGAAUCGCUAACGUACCCCAAGGCCUGGGAUAGCCAGUCGAAAGAUUGGGUAAUACCAGAUGAAAUAACCUGGAGGCAUCUUCGGGUUCUCAAAGCCGCAAGGCACCAUGGGAGCGGGCGAUUUCGUAUCAGCUAGUUGGUAGGGUAACGGCCUACCAAGGCGACGACGCGUAGCCGGGCUGAGAGGUUGGCCGGCCACAUUGGGACUGAGACACUGCCCAGACUCCUACGGGGGGCUGCAGUAACGAAUCUUCCGCAAUGCACGAAAGUGUGACGGAGCGACGCCGCGUGUAGGACGAAGCCCUUCGGGGUGUAAACUACUGUCAGGGGAAAGAAAGUACUGAUCUACCCCAGAGGAAGGCACGGCUAACUCUGUGCCAGCAGCCGCGGUAAGACAGAGGUGCCGAGCGUUAGGCGGAAUCACUGGGCUUAAAGCGUGUGUAGGCGGAUGCCUAAGUACCUUGUGAAAUCCCACGGCUCAACCGUGGAACUGCUUGGUAUACUGGGUGUCUUGAGCCAGAUAGGGGCGACCGGAACAGACGGUGGAGCGGUGAAAUGCGUAGAUAUCGUCUGGAACGCCAAUGGUGAAAACAGGUCGCUGGGUCUGUGCUGACGCUGAGACGCGAAAGCCAGGGGAGCAAACGGGAUUAGAUACCCCGGUAGUCCUGGCCGUAAACGAUGUCGACUAGAUCGCAGCAGCUCUGACGCUGUUGCGGUCGAAGUAAAAAUGUUAAGUCGACCGCCUGGGAAGUACGGUCGCAAGGCUAAAACUCAAAGGAAUUGACGGGGGCUCACACAAGCGGUGGAGCAUGUGGUUCAAUUCGAAGCAACGCGCAGGACCUUACCUGGGCUUGACAUGCUAGGAUUAUCCCGAUGAAAGUUGGGUAGGCCCCGCAAGGGGUACAACUAGUACAGGUGCUGCAUGGCUGUCGUCAGCUCGUGUCGUGGAAAUGUCCGGGUUAAGUCCCUUAACGAGCGAAACCUUUGCCCUUAGUUACUAACGGGUUAUGCCAAGGACUUUAAGGGGACUGCCGUGUCAAACCCGAAGAAAAAGGGGGAGAUAACUCCAAGUCCUCCUGGGCUUUAUGCCCAGGGCCACACUUGGUUCAAUGGGGU
Molecule: ribosomal RNA, 1193 nt
Filed under: uncultured Planctomycetales bacterium
Lineage: Bacteria; Pseudomonadati; Planctomycetota; Planctomycetia; Planctomycetales
Description: bacterial SSU rRNA
Rfam family: Bacterial small subunit ribosomal RNA
Source: RNAcentral